UACGUAGGGGGCAAGCGUUGUCCGGAUUUAUUGGGUUUAAAGGGUGCGUAGGCGGUCCUAUAAGUCAGUGCUGAAAUAUCCCGGCUUAACCGGGAGGGUGGCAUUGAUACUGCAGGACUUGAGUAAAGUUGAGGUUGGCGGAAUUGACGGUGUAGCGGUGAAAUGCUUAGAUAUCGUCAAGAACACCUAUUGCGAAGGCAGCUAACUAAGCUUUAACUGACGCUGAGGCACGAAAGUGUGGGGAUCAAACAGG
This 253-nucleotide ribosomal RNA is filed under the name uncultured bacterium. RNAcentral's name for it is "partial 16S ribosomal RNA". It matches the Rfam family "Bacterial small subunit ribosomal RNA", at positions 524 to 776 of the family's 1533-position model. The record is from RNAcentral.